This 468-nucleotide ribosomal RNA is filed under the name uncultured bacterium. RNAcentral describes it as "partial 16S ribosomal RNA". It matches the Rfam family "Bacterial small subunit ribosomal RNA", at positions 28 to 507 of the family's 1533-position model. The record is from RNAcentral.
GACGAACGCUGGCGGCGUGCUUAACACAUGCAAGUCGAACGGAAAGGCCCUGCUUUUGUGGGGUGCUCGAGUGGCGAACGGGUGAGUAACACGUGAGUAACCUGCCCUUGACUUUGGGAUAACUUCAGGAAACUGGGGCUAAUACCGGAUAGGAGCUCCUGCUGCAUGGUGGGGGUUGGAAAGUUUCGGCGGUUGGGGAUGGACUCGCAGCUUAUCAGCUUGUUGGUGGGGUAGUGGCUUACCAAGGCUUUGACGGGUAGCCGGCCUGAGAGGGUGACCGGCCACAUUGGGACUGAGAUACGGCCCAGACUCCUACGGGAGGCAGCAGUGGGGAAUAUUGCACAAUGGGCGGAAGCCUGAUGCAGCAACGCCGCGUGCGGGAUGACGGCCUUCGGGUUGUAAACCGCUUUCGCCUGUGACGAAGCGUGAGUGACGGUAAUGAGUAAAGAAGCACCGGCUAACUACGUG